Molecule: transfer RNA, 72 nt
Filed under: Camelus bactrianus (Bactrian camel)
Lineage: Eukaryota; Metazoa; Chordata; Mammalia; Artiodactyla; Camelidae
Also listed under: 2 other names
Rfam family: tRNA
About the family: Transfer RNA (tRNA) molecules are approximately 80 nucleotides in length.
Source: Rfam by way of RNAcentral
GAGGGCAUACCUCAGAGGUAGAGUGUGUGCUUAGCAUGCUCAAGGUCCUGGGUUCAAUCCCCAGUACCUCUA